This 1664-nucleotide ribosomal RNA is filed under the name Dianema longibarbis (porthole catfish). RNAcentral describes it as "partial 16S ribosomal RNA". It matches the Rfam family "Bacterial large subunit ribosomal RNA". Lineage: Eukaryota; Metazoa; Chordata; Actinopteri; Siluriformes; Callichthyidae. The record is from RNAcentral.
GCAAUAAAGCUAGCUUAAAUACCAAAAAAUAUAUACCAACAUUAAUAAGCUUUUUAUGACUAGAUCUAACAAACUAAAACAUUUUUCCGCCCUAGUAUGUGAGACAGAAAAGGAACCUCAAAGCAAUAAACUUAGUACCGCAAGGGAAAGCUGAAAAAGAAAUGAAAUAAACCAUUAAAGCCCAAUAAAGCAGAGACUAAAUCUCGUACCUUUUGCAUCAUGAUUUAGCCAGUUAACCUGAGCAAAGCGCUCUUUAGUUCAAUAACCCGAAACUGAGUGAGCUACCCCAAGACAGCCUAAUUAAAGGGCCAACCCGUCUCUGUGGCAAAAGAGUGGGAAGAUCUUUGGGUAGGGGUGACAGACCUACCGAACUCAGUUAUAGCUGGUCGCCUAAAAAAUGGAUAAAAGUUCAGCCUCGUGCCCCUCAACUCACUAAGGUUAAUCUAAAUAUGAUCAAGAGAGACACACGAGAGUUAUUCAAAGGGGGUACAGCCCCUUUGAAAAAGGAAACAACCUCACCAGGAGGUUAAAGAUUAUAAUCAUCAAGAUUCUGUUCAGUGGGCCUAAAAGCAGCCACCUGCACAGAAAGCGUUAAAGCUCGAACAGAAAACAAUCUAUUAUAUCAAUAUAUUAUCCAAAACCCCUAAUCCUAUUAGGCCUUUCUAUGCCCACAUAGAAGCGAUACUGCUAAAAUGAGUAAUUAGAAGAUAACAUCUUCUCCUGAACCCAAGUGUAAGCUAGAUCGGACCACCCACUAGCCCAUUAACGAACCCAAAACAAGAGAGAAACAUGGUUUAAAUAAAGUACAAGAAAACCCCAUAUAAAUUUAAUCGUUAACCCCACACUGGAGGGCCACAAGGAAAGACUAAAAGAAAAGGAAGGAACUCGGCAAGCACAAGCCUCGUCUGUUUACCAAAAACAUAGCCUCCCGCAAAAUCCCAAUAUAUAGGAGGUCCCACCUGCCCGGUGAUAACUUAAACGGCCGCGGUAUUUUGACCGUGCAAAGGUAGCGCAAUCACUUGUCUUUUAAAUGAAGACCCGUAUGAAUGGUUAAACGAGGGCUUAACUGUCUCCCUUCUCCAGUCAAUGAAAUUGAUCUACCCGUGCAGAAGCGGGUAUAAACUUACAAGACGAGAAGACCCUUUGGAGCUUAAGACAAAAGAUCACUUAUGUUAAGUAAAAAAAAUAAAACUAAAUAAUCCUUGAUCAUAGUCUUCGGUUGGGGCGACCGCGGGAUAAAAUAAAACUCCCGCAAGGACUGAAGAAACCCUUUAAAACCAAGAAAGACAUUUCUAAGUCACAGAAUUUCUGACCACAAAGAUCCGGCCACGCCGAUCAACGAACCAAGUUACCCUAGGGAUAACAGCGCAAUCCCCUUUUAGAGUCCUAUCGACAAGGGGGUUUACGACCUCGAUGUUGGAUCAGGACAUCCUAAUGGUGCAGCCGCUAUUAAGGGUUCGUUUGUUCAACGAUUAAAGUCCUACGUGAUCUGAGUUCAGACCGGAGUAAUCCAGGUCAGUUUCUAUCUGUAAUGCUAUUUUUUCUAGUACGAAAGGACCGAAAAAAUUGGGCCCAUACUUAUAGCACGCCCGACUCCCACUUAAUGAAGACAACUAAAUUAAGUAAAAAGAGCAUAACUGGUAAUUGAGAUAACAUUACUAAGG